UACAGAGGUGGCAAGCGUUGUUCGGAAUUACUGGGCGUAAAGGGCGCGUAGGCGGCCAUCUAAGUCAGACGUGAAAUCCCCCGGCUUAACCUGGGAACUGCGUCUGAUACUGGAAGGCUUGAGUAUGGGAGAGGGAUGUAGAAUUCCAGGUGUAGCGGUGAAAUGCGUAGAUAUCUGGAGGAAUACCGGUGGCGAAGGCGGGUCUCUGGACAGUUCCUGACGCUGAGGCACGAAGGCCAGGGGAGCAAACGGG
Molecule: ribosomal RNA, 253 nt
Filed under: uncultured bacterium
Lineage: Bacteria
Description: partial 16S ribosomal RNA
Rfam family: Bacterial small subunit ribosomal RNA
Source: RNAcentral